Molecule: ribosomal RNA, 1384 nt
Filed under: uncultured bacterium
Lineage: Bacteria
Description: bacterial SSU rRNA
Rfam family: Bacterial small subunit ribosomal RNA
Source: RNAcentral
CCUGGCUCACGAUGAACGCUAGCUACAGCGCUUAACACAUGCAAGUCGAGGGGCAGCAUUUUAGUUUGCUUGCAAACUGAAGAUGGCGACCGGCGCACGGGUGAGUAACACGUAUCCAACCUGCCGAUAACUCCGGAAUAGCCUUUCGAAAGAAAGAUUAAUACCGGAUGGCAUACGAAUAUCGCAUGAUAUUUUUAUUAAAGAAUUUCGGUUAUCGAUGGGGAUGCGUUCCAUUAGUUUGUUGGCGGGGUAACGGCCCACCAAGACAACGAUGGAUAGGGGUUCUGAGAGGAAGGUCCCCCACAUUGGAACUGAGACACGGUCCAAACUCCUACGGGAGGCAGCAGUGAGGAAUAUUGGUCAAUGGGCGAGAGCCUGAACCAGCCAAGUAGCGUGAAGGAUGAAGGCUCUAUGGGUCGUAAACUUCUUUUAUAUGGGAAUAAAGUAUUCCACGUGUGGAAUUUUGUAUGUACCAUAUGAAUAAGGAUCGGCUAACUCCGUGCCAGCAGCCGCGGUAAUACGGAGGAUCCGAGCGUUAUCCGGAUUUAUUGGGUUUAAAGGGAGCGUAGGUGGAUUGUUAAGUCAGUUGUGAAAGUUUGCGGCUCAACCGUAAAAUUGCAGUUGAAACUGGCAGUCUUGAGUACAGUAGAGGUGGGCGGAAUUCGUGGUGUAGCGGUGAAAUGCUUAGAUAUCACGAAGAACUCCGAUUGCGAAGGCAGCUCACUAGACUGUCACUGACACUGAUGCUCGAAAGUGUGGGUAUCAAACAGGAUUAGAUACCCUGGUAGUCCACACAGUAAACGAUGAAUACUCGCUGUUUGCGAUAUACAGUAAGCGGCCAAGCGAAAGCAUUAAGUAUUCCACCUGGGGAGUACGCCGGCAACGGUGAAACUCAAAGGAAUUGACGGGGGCCCGCACAAGCGGAGGAACAUGUGGUUUAAUUCGAUGAUACGCGAGGAACCUUACCCGGGCUUAAAUUGCAACAGAAUAUAUUGGAAACAGUAUAGCCGUAAGGCUGUUGUGAAGGUGCUGCAUGGUUGUCGUCAGCUCGUGCCGUGAGGUGUCGGCUUAAGUGCCAUAACGAGCGCAACCCUUAUCUUUAGUUACUAACAGGUCAUGCUGAGGACUCUAGAGAGACUGCCGUCGUAAGAUGUGAGGAAGGUGGGGAUGACGUCAAAUCAGCACGGCCCUUACGUCCGGGGCUACACACGUGUUACAAUGGGGGGUACAGAAGGCGGCUACCUGGUGACAGGAUGCUAAUCCCAAAAACCUCUCUCAGUUCGGAUCGAAGUCUGCAACCCGACUUCGUGAAGCUGGAUUCGCUAGUAAUCGCGCAUCAGCCAUGGCGCGGUGAAUACGUUCCCGGGCCUUGUACACACCGCCC